RNAcentral lists this ribosomal RNA (787 nucleotides) under uncultured bacterium. RNAcentral's name for it is "bacterial SSU rRNA". It matches the Rfam family "Bacterial small subunit ribosomal RNA", at positions 8 to 796 of the family's 1533-position model. The record is from RNAcentral.
AGAGUUUGAUCCUGGCUCAGGACGAACGCUGGCGGCGUGCUUAACACAUGCAAGUCGAACGGAAAGGCCCCUUUGGGGGUGCUCGAGUGGCGAACGGGUGAGUAACACGUGGGUGAUCUGCCCUGCACUUCGGGAUAAGCUUGGGAAACUGGGUCUAAUACCGGAUAGGACCAUGCCAUGCAUGUGGUGUGGUGGAAAGCUUUUGCGGUGUGGGAUGGGCCCGCGGCCUAUCAGCUUGUUGGUGGGGUGAUGGCCUACCAAGGCGACGACGGGUAGCCGGCCUGAGAGGGUGUCCGGCCACACUGGGACUGAGAUACGGCCCAGACUCCUACGGGAGGCAGCAGUGGGGAAUAUUGCACAAUGGGCGCAAGCCUGAUGCAGCGACGCCGCGUGGGGGAUGACGGCCUUCGGGUUGUAAACCUCUUUCACCAUCGGCGAAGCCUCUGAUUUUUGUUGGGGGUGACGGUAGGUGGAGAAGAAGCACCGGCCAACUACGUGCCAGCAGCCGCGGUAAUACGUAGGGUGCGAGCGUUGUCCGGAAUUACUGGGCGUAAAGAGCUCGUAGGUGGUUUGUCGCGUUGUUCGUGAAAUUCCCUGGCUUAACUGGGGGCGUGCGGGCGAUACGGGCAGACUGGAGUACUGCAGGGGAGACUGGAAUUCCUGGUGUAGCGGUGGAAUGCGCAGAUAUCAGGAGGAACACCGGUGGCGAAGGCGGGUCUCUGGGCAGUAACUGACGCUGAGGAGCGAAAGCGUGGGGAGCGAACAGGAUUAGAUACCCCAGUAGUCC